UAGCCCGUUGUGUAAUACCCUGGUGGAGACUGAGGUUCGCGCUUCUGCAAGGAUGCUGGCGUAAUGGUCAUCAACGACCCGUCUUGUAACACGGACCAAGGAGUCUGACAUGUGUGCGAGUCAACGGGCGAGUAAACCCGUAAGGCGCAAGGAAGCUGAUUGGCGUGAUCCCCCCGAGGGGUGCAACGCCGACCGACCUCGAUCUUCUGAGAAGGGUUUGAGUGUGAGCAUACCUGUCGGGACCCGAAAGAUGGUGAACUAUGCCUGAAUAGG
Molecule: ribosomal RNA, 273 nt
Filed under: Ochromonas sp. CCMP1393
Lineage: Eukaryota; Chrysophyceae; Chromulinales; Chromulinaceae
Description: partial Eukaryotic large subunit ribosomal RNA
Rfam family: Eukaryotic large subunit ribosomal RNA
Source: RNAcentral